ACAGUCACUGACAUUAGAUACCCGGGUAGUCCGAGGGUGUAAACGCUGCAGACUUGGUGUUGGGAACCCGUUCGGGGGUGCUCAGUGCCGGAGAGAAGUUGUUAAGUCUGCUACGUUGGGGAGUACGUCCGCAAGGAUGAAACUUAAAGGAAUUGGCGGGGGAGCACCGCAACGGGAGGAGCGUGCGGUUUAAUUGGAUUCAACGCCGAAAAACUCACCAGCAGCGACUGUUACAUGAAAGUCAGGUUGAUGACCUUACUAGAUUUUCAG
RNAcentral lists this ribosomal RNA (270 nucleotides) under uncultured archaeon. RNAcentral's name for it is "partial 16S ribosomal RNA". It matches the Rfam family "Archaeal small subunit ribosomal RNA", at positions 717 to 982 of the family's 1478-position model. The record is from RNAcentral.